UCAACCCAUUUAAUCAUCUGACCCAUCAAAUUAAAUGAGUUCAUGGGUUGACUCAACUCAUUAGCAUAAUGAGUUGAGUCAACCCAUGAACUCAUUUAACUCUAAACUCAUUGGGUAAUGAGU
RNAcentral lists this microRNA precursor (123 nucleotides) under Arabidopsis suecica. RNAcentral describes it as "MIR405". It matches the Rfam family "MIR405 microRNA precursor family". The record is from RNAcentral. Lineage: Eukaryota; Viridiplantae; Streptophyta; Magnoliopsida; Brassicales; Brassicaceae.